UAGACUAAUGACAACAGUGUGUCACAAACUAAAGAUUAAGAUUAAUCCAAUUCUGUGCACCUGAGAUCCAUU
This 72-nucleotide small nucleolar RNA is filed under the name Myotis lucifugus (little brown bat). Its description in RNAcentral is "Small nucleolar RNA SNORD112 (ENSMLUG00000021548.1)". Lineage: Eukaryota; Metazoa; Chordata; Mammalia; Chiroptera; Vespertilionidae. The record is from RNAcentral.